GUGGGGAAUCUUGCGCAAUGGGCGAAAGCCUGACGCAGCCAUGCCGCGUGAAUGAUGAAGGUCUUAGGAUUGUAAAAUUCUUUCACCGGGGACGAUAAUGACGGUACCCGGAGAAGAAGCUCCGGCUAACUUCGCGCCAGCAGCCGCGGUAAUACGAAGGGGGCGAGCGUUAUUCGGAAUCACUGGGCGUAAAGGGCGCGUAGGCGGACAGCUUAGUCAGAGGUGAAAGCCCAGGGCUCAACCUUGGAAUUGCCUUUGAUACUGGCUGUCUUGAAUUUGGGAGAGGUGAGUGGAACGCCGAGUGUAGAGGUGAAAUUCGUAGAUAGUCGGAAGAACACCAGUGUCGAAGGCGACUCACUGGCCCAAUACUGACGCUGAGGCGCGAAGGCGUGGGGAGCAAACAGGAUUAGAAACCCGGGUAGUCC
RNAcentral lists this ribosomal RNA (425 nucleotides) under uncultured bacterium. RNAcentral describes it as "partial 16S ribosomal RNA". It matches the Rfam family "Bacterial small subunit ribosomal RNA", at positions 354 to 796 of the family's 1533-position model. The record is from RNAcentral.